UCCAUAGUGUUUGUUCUGGAGCCUCUCUCUCUCUCUGGCUGAUCUUCUCGUGUGUUUUUUGUUUUCUAAAGGUUUCCCUGGAUAGGAACGAGGCCCAAAAGUCAAGCCAGUCUUCCUGAGUGAGAGACCUGCUCAGAAACUGCUCACUGAAGGACAGUAGGUCUUGCCUGUCACUCUUGCUGUUAUGGCAGGAGGUAUUACAAUGGUGACCAAGCUAUGUCCAGGUUAUGCCUUUCUUCAGAUACUAAGGACUGCAGGCUUCGAGUUGCGCUGUUUGGAAGAAGCAACGUCGUCUUCUCUCACAGCUACGACGCGGCACCGCUCUCAGCAUAUCCUGCUUUUUUCCCCCAUUUACCUGGGCGGCUUCUGCUGUUUCUGUUGCUGCUGCUGGGGCUGCUGCAGUUUUGCUGCCUGUGCUUCACCCUGGCAUGUCUGAGUCGGGAAUCACUCGUCUGCACGCUGCUAAGGAAGAGCAGCGAUGGAACUCUGGCCACAUUUUAUUUUUCUGGAAGAGAGGGGUUGUGAUGUGGGGUGGGUUUUUUUUUUGGAAGGGUGGGGACAUUAAUCCAAAGUGAGGUGGGAGAAAGUUUAAAGAAAUAUUACGCAAAAUAAUCCAGCACACGACAAGGGCAUCAGCAGCAAGAAUCCAGCCUCUGCUGCUCGAAAGGAUUAACAUGGGAAAAGCCACAGUGGUGCAGUAGUGUUUCACAUCAGCAUUGUGCUGGAGAUGGAUAAAUAAGGUAUCUGAUAUGUCCGCUUGUAAAGGCAAAGCUAUGGGAGGAAGAGAGCGAGAGAGCAAAUGAAAAGGAAGAAGAAACACUGUAUUCUGUUUGUCUGAUUCUGUGCAUUCUUGUUCUAGAGAUGGUUGCAUAAUUUACCAAACAAUGUAUGGACGGAGGGACUGUAAAUUGUAGUCUGAACACUCGCGACGCUGUCAAGGAGGGAACUGAUGGGCUAGGUGACUGCACUGACAUCCCCAGGGAAAACAGCCGUCAUGCAGUAUAUAUUUAUAUAUGUAUGUGUAUCUCUUGUGUGUCCACGUGUAGACAUGAAAAAAGGCAUUUCUGACCAAUUUACACAGGAAGUUUGUCACUUUGCUAGAUCAGACUUGAUUACAGCUUAUAUUUUCAGCUACAACUCUACACCCAUUUCCUGAAUCAGAAGGUGCUUUGUGAAAAGAGACGUAUGCAGAAUUCUUUUAAGAAAUGUGAAAGCAGCUCCUUUUUAUUUAACACCUUGAAGCACUGAAUCUUCUGCACUGUGCUGAGAGGAACUGUGUGGGUUUUGUUUUCUUCAUCUUAAAAUCUUUAUAAACACAGCUGUAUUCAGUAUGGUGAAAAAUUCUAUAUUGUAAAUAGAAAUGCGAUCAAUCUAAUCAAAAUAAAUGUAUCCCAGAUGACUGCUAGACCA
Molecule: long non-coding RNA, 1410 nt
Organism: Gopherus agassizii (Agassiz's desert tortoise)
Lineage: Eukaryota; Metazoa; Chordata; Testudines; Testudinidae
Source: Ensembl